UUACUACUGACUUGCUGCCGGCAUAGUUGAUUUCCGCAAAAGCUGAGUCACUUUUCAAAUACCUAGAUAAUUAAAUACUAAAUUGAAGUCUGUCGGAAGAUGCAGAUCUUGGUAAAUUUGAAGAAUAAGAAGCGGAUGGAAGGGUAAACAAAGAAACUUUAUACAACCCUUUUCCGCGUCUUACAUUACAUGAGGAAACUUCUGUAAAAAAAUAGGAAGCUUUUAAGCUUUCACCGUUGAAGCUGUGCGUGGUCACCAAUCAGUCAGUCAGUAAGUCAGUCGGUAAUCAGACUGGACAAGUAGUUGAAUAUGCAUGGGUGUACAAAGCAUCCAUUGUGAAUAUCGUGCGCUUGGGUCUUAAGUUGAAGCAUUAUUCCGGCAACGAAGUCGAGAGAUAGCCGAGUCAAUUGACAUUCAACGAACAAAAUGCUUAUCCACUUCAAAGCAACAAUAGGAAGCAAGACACGCAGAGUCAGUCUCUGUGCAGACAUCUCUUGUGGGCAAACAAAUUGCUGUCAACGACGAAGCCCAUAAAAGUAACGCAAAUAAACAAUUUAACUUGAAUGUAAAACACGAAAACAGCUGUCCAUCAGACUGGCUGAGGUGUGUGUGUGUGUGCGUGGGUGUGAGUGUGGAUGUGGAUAUGGAGUGUGACUGUGUCUCGCUUAGAGGCUUAAUCGAUUUCCAACGUGGACAAUUAGUUUGCAGCCAAAUUGCCCGCAUCGCUGAAUGGGAAUCGGGAAAUGGGUUAACCACAGAGGACAGCAGCGCCAAUGCGAGCCACAGCCAUAACAAUGGCAAGAGCGGCCGAAAUUGGGUCAACUGGCGUCUGGAACCGGGAGCGAGACUGGGAAUCGGACUGGGACUGGGACUGGGACUGAGAUUGGUCUGGGUCUGGAAAGUAUAAACUGGGACUCUUUUGGUAGCCGUUAAGUAAAUCAAAAACAUUUGCCAACUGCCAGCGGCAUGUGGCUGCCUGAUGCUUCUGGGGGAGAGGGCCAAGGCGACAAUUAUGCCCGCUAUUUAUCACCCAGACAGCCAAGUGGCAAAUAAAAAAAGAAAAGGAGGCAAGGGACAAGCGUCUGACAGUAAAAUAAAAAUAUUAAUAAUGACCCGGCUCGCCCCCUUGGCACACAUAAAAAAUGAAGAUCAUUGACAGGCGGAUAUCUUUUUGUCUGACUUCCGCAGGCCUGCCCUUUCCCCUUCUGAGCAGCUGUGACAACAAGGCGUAUGAGUGAUAUGCGCUGUAAUACGCAGCAGAGACAGCAGAGCAUCAACAACAACAUUCGUGAAAGGGCAGU
Long non-coding RNA from Drosophila novamexicana, 1301 nucleotides. RefSeq lists it as uncharacterized. The transcript is spliced from 3 exons. NCBI's taxonomy places the organism in Eukaryota, Metazoa, Arthropoda, Insecta, Diptera, Drosophilidae. The record is from RefSeq and is a predicted model, not a curated record.